GCCGGGAUAGCUCAGUUGGUAGAGCAGG
This 28-nucleotide transfer RNA is filed under the name Frullania sp. B BlS-2016. Its description in RNAcentral is "partial tRNA-Phe". Lineage: Eukaryota; Viridiplantae; Streptophyta; Jungermanniopsida; Porellales; Frullaniaceae. The record is from RNAcentral.